UGAGCCUACGGGACGCAGCAGUGAGGAAUAUUGGUCAAUGGGCGGGAGCCUGAACCAGCCAAGUCGCGUGAGGGAAGACGGUCCUAUGGAUUGUAAACCUCUUUUGUCGGAGAACAAAACCCGGGACGUGUCCCGGACUGCGUGUAUCCGAAGAAAAAGCAUCGGCUAACUCCGUGCCAGCAGCCGCGGUAAUACGGAGGAUGCGAGCGUUAUCCGGAUUUAUUGGGUUUAAAGGGUGCGUAGGCGGUCCGUUAAGUCAGCGGUAAAAUUGCGGGGCUCAACCCCGUCGA
Molecule: ribosomal RNA, 290 nt
Filed under: uncultured bacterium
Lineage: Bacteria
Description: partial 16S ribosomal RNA
Rfam family: Bacterial small subunit ribosomal RNA
Source: RNAcentral